UAGGGAAUAUUGGACAAUGGGCGCAAGCCUGAUCCAGCCAUGCCGCAUGAGUGAAGAAGGCCCUCGGGUUGUAAAGCUCUUUUGUCCGGAAAGAAAAGCAUCGGGCUAAUACCCUGGUGUUCUGACGGUACCGGAAGAAUAAGCACCGGCUAACUUCGUGCCAGCAGCCGCGGUAAUACGAAGGGUGCAAGCGUUACUCGGAAUUACUGGGCGUAAAGCGUGCGUAGGUGGUUUGUUAAGUCUGAUGUGAAAGCCCUGGGCUCAACCUGGGAAUGGCAUUGGAAACUGGCGGACUCGAGUGCGGUAGAGGGGUGUGGAAUUCCCGGUGUAGCAGUGAAAUGCGUAGAGAUCGGGAGGAACACCAGUGGCGAAGGCGACACCCUGGACCAGCACUGACACUGAGGCACGAAAGCGUGGGGAGCAAACAGGAUUAGAUACCCUGGUAGUCCACGCCCUAAACGAUGCGACUGGAUGUUGGUGCAACUUGGCACUCAGUAUCGAAGCUAACGCGUUAAGUUCGCCGCCUGGGGAGUACGGUCGCAAGACUGAAACUUAAAUGAAUUGACGGGGUCAUAGCUGUUUCC
This 584-nucleotide ribosomal RNA is filed under the name uncultured bacterium. Its description in RNAcentral is "partial 16S ribosomal RNA". It matches the Rfam family "Bacterial small subunit ribosomal RNA", at positions 355 to 937 of the family's 1533-position model. The record is from RNAcentral.